CGGACGGGUGAGUAAUGUAUAGUUAAUCUGCCCUUUAGAGGGGGAUAACAGUUGGAAACGACUGCUAAUACCCCAUACUCCUUUUAUCUUAAUGAUAAUUGGGAGACGUUUUUUCGCUAAAGGAUGAGACUAUAUGGUAUCAGGUAGUUGGUAGGGUAAGAGCCUACCAAGCCAAUGACGCCUAGCUGGUCUGAGAGGAUGAUCAGCCACACUGGAACUGAGACACGGUCCAG
This 233-nucleotide ribosomal RNA is filed under the name uncultured bacterium. RNAcentral's name for it is "partial 16S ribosomal RNA". It matches the Rfam family "Bacterial small subunit ribosomal RNA", at positions 99 to 334 of the family's 1533-position model. The record is from RNAcentral.